This 379-nucleotide ribosomal RNA is filed under the name uncultured organism. RNAcentral's name for it is "bacterial SSU rRNA". It matches the Rfam family "Bacterial small subunit ribosomal RNA", at positions 367 to 762 of the family's 1533-position model. The record is from RNAcentral.
CGCAAUGGGGGAAACCCGGACGCAGCAACGCCGCGUGAUUGAUGAAGCCCUUCGGGGUGUAAAGAUCUGUCAGUGGGGACGAACGAUGACGGUACCCACAGAGGAAGCACCGGCUAUCUCCGUCCCAGCAGCCGCGGUAAUACGGGGGGUGCAAGCGUUGUCCGGAAUCAUUGGGCGUAAAGAGUUCGUAGGUGGUAUGUUAAGUCUGGUGUCAAAUCCCGAAGCUCAACUUCGGUUCGCCACUGGAUCCUCGCAAACUAGAAUGCGGUAGAGGUAAAGGGAAUUCCUGGUGUAGCGGUGAAAUGCGUAGAUAUCAGGAGGAACAUCGGAGGCGUAAGCGCUUCACUGGCCUGUAAUUGACACUGAGGCACGAAAGCCG